AGAGUUUGAUCAUGGCUCAGAUUGAACGCUGGCGGCAGGCCUAACACAUGCAAGUCGAACGGUAACAGAAAGCAGCUUGCUGCUUUGCUGACGAGUGGCGGACGGGUGAGUAAUGUCUGGGAAACUGCCUGAUGGAGGGGGAUAACUACUGGAAACGGUAGCUAAUACCGCAUAACGUCGCAAGACCAAAGAGGGGGACCUUCGGGCCUCUUGCCAUCGGAUGUGCCCAGAUGGGAUUAGCUUGUUGGUGGGGUAACGGCUCACCAAGGCGACGAUCCCUAGCUGGUCUGAGAGGAUGACCAGCCACACUGGAACUGAGACACGGUCCAGACUCCUACGGGAGGCAGCAGUGGGGAAUAUUGCACAAUGGGCGCAAGCCUGAUGCAGCCAUGCCGCGUGUAUGAAGAAGGCCUUCGGGUUGUAAAGUACUUUCAGCGGGGAGGAAGGGAGUAAAGUUAAUACCUUUGCUCAUUGACGUUACCCGCAGAAGAAGCACCGGCUAACUCCGUGCCAGCAGCCGCGGUAAUACGGAGGGUGCAAGCGUUAAUCGGAAUUACUGGGCGUAAAGCGCACGCAGGCGGUUUGUUUAAGUCAGAUGUGAAAUCCCCGGGCUCAACCUGGGAACUGCAUCUGAUACUGGCAAGCUUGAGUCUCGUAGAGGGGGGUAGAAUUCCAGGUGUAGCGGUGAAAUGCGUAGAGAUCUGGAGGAAUACCGGUGGCGAAGGCGGCCCCCUGGACGAAGACUGACGCUCAGGUGCGAAAGCGUGGGGAGCAAACAGGAUUAGAUACCCUGGUAGUCCACGCCGUAAACGAUGUCGACUUGGAGGUUGUGCCCUUGAGGCGUGGCUUCCGGAGCUAACGCGUUAAGUCGACCGCCUGGGGAGUACGGCCGCAAGGUUAAAACUCAAAUGAAUUGACGGGGGCCCGCACAAGCGGUGGAGCAUGUGGUUUAAUUCGAUGCAACGCGAAGAACCUUACCUGGUCUUGACAUCCACGGAAGUUUUCAGAGAUGAGAAUGUGCCUUCGGGAACCGUGAGACAGGUGCUGCAUGGCUGUCGUCAGCUCGUGUUGUGAAAUGUUGGGUUAAGUCCCGCAACGAGCGCAACCCUUAUCCUUUGUUGCCAGCGGUCCGGCCGGGAACUCAAAGGAGACUGCCAGUGAUAAACUGGAGGAAGGUGGGGAUGACGUCAAGUCAUCAUGGCCCUUACGACCAGGGCUACACACGUGCUACAAUGGCGCAUACAAAGAGAAGCGACCUCGCGAGAGCAAGCGGACCUCAUAAAGUGCGUCGUAGUCCGGAUUGGAGUCUGCAACUCGACUCCAUGAAGUCGGAAUCGCUAGUAAUCGUGGAUCAGAAUGCCACGGUGAAUACGUUCCCGGGCCUUGUACACACCGCCCGUCACACCAUGGGAGUGGGUUGCAAAAGAAGUAGGUAGCUUAACCUUCGGGAAGGGCGCUUACCACUUUGUGAUUCAUGACUGGGGUGAAGUCGUAACAAGGUAACCGUAGGGGAACCUGCGGUUGGAUCACCU
This 1532-nucleotide ribosomal RNA is filed under the name Escherichia coli DEC9D. Its description in RNAcentral is "bacterial SSU rRNA". It matches the Rfam family "Bacterial small subunit ribosomal RNA". The record is from RNAcentral. Lineage: Bacteria; Pseudomonadati; Pseudomonadota; Gammaproteobacteria; Enterobacterales; Enterobacteriaceae.